CCUACGGCGGCUGCAGUGGGGAAUAUUGGACAAUGGGCGAAAGCCUGAUCCAGCCAUGCCGCGUGUGUGAAGAAGGCCUUCGGGUUGUAAAGCACUUUCAGUGGGGAAGAAAGCCUUGGGGCUAAUACCCUCGAGGAAGGACAUCACCCACAGAAGAAGCACCGGCUAACUCCGUGCCAGCAGCCGCGGUAAUACGGAGGGUGCGAGCGUUAAUCGGAAUUACUGGGCGUAAAGCGCGCGUAGGCGGUCUGAUAAGCCGGUUGUGAAAGCCCCGGGCUCAACCUGGGAACGGCAUCCGGAACGGUCAGGCUAGAGUGCAGGAGAGGAAGGUAGAAUUCCCGGUGUAGCGGUGAAAUGCGUAGAGAUCGGGAGGAAUACCAGUGGCGAAGGCGGCCUUCUGGACUGACACUGACGCUGAGGUGCGAAAGCGUGGGUAGCAAACAGGAUUAGAUACCCGAGUAGU
Molecule: ribosomal RNA, 463 nt
Filed under: Vreelandella stevensii
Lineage: Bacteria; Pseudomonadati; Pseudomonadota; Gammaproteobacteria; Oceanospirillales; Halomonadaceae
Description: partial 16S ribosomal RNA
Rfam family: Bacterial small subunit ribosomal RNA
Source: RNAcentral